CCUACGGGUGGCAGCAGUGAGGAAUAUUGGUCAAUGGGCGCGAGCCUGAACCAGCCAAGUCGCGUGAAGGAUGACUGCCCUACGGGUUGUAAACUUCUUUUAUAAAGGAAUAAAGUGAGGCACGUGUGCCUUUUUGUAUGUACUUUAUGAAUAAGGAUAGGCUCACUCCGUGCCAGCAGCCGCGGUAAUACGGAGGAUCCGAGCGUUGUCCGGAUUUAUUGGGUUUAAAGGGAGCGUAGAUGGGUUGUUAAGUCAGUUGUGAAAGUUUGCGGCUCAACCGUAAAAUUGCAAUUGAUACUGGCAGCCUUGAGUACAGUAGAGGUAGGCGGAAUUCGUGGUGUAGCGGUGAAAUGCGUAGAGAUCACGAAGAACUCCGAUUGCGAAGGCAGCCUACUAAGCUGCCACUGACAUUGAUGCUCGAAAGUGUGGGUAGCAAACAGGAUUAGAUAUCCCAGUAGUC
This 460-nucleotide ribosomal RNA is filed under the name uncultured bacterium. Its description in RNAcentral is "partial 16S ribosomal RNA". It matches the Rfam family "Bacterial small subunit ribosomal RNA", at positions 338 to 795 of the family's 1533-position model. The record is from RNAcentral.